This 460-nucleotide ribosomal RNA is filed under the name uncultured bacterium. Its description in RNAcentral is "partial 16S ribosomal RNA". It matches the Rfam family "Bacterial small subunit ribosomal RNA", at positions 338 to 795 of the family's 1533-position model. The record is from RNAcentral.
CCUACGGGGGGCAGCAGUGAGGAAUAUUGGUCAAUGGACGAGAGUCUGAACCAGCCAAGUAGCGUGAAGGAUGACUGCCCUAUGGGUUGUAAACUUCUUUUAUAUGGGAAUAAAAUGUUCCACGUGUGGGAUUUUGUAUGUACCAUAUGAAUAAGGAUCGGCUAACUCCGUGCCAGCAGCCGCGGUAAUACGGAGGAUCCGAGCGUUAUCCGGAUUUAUUGGGUUUAAAGGGAGCGUAGGUGGAUUGUUAAGUCAGUUGUGAAAGUUUGCGGCUCAACCGUAAAAUUGCAGUUGAAACUGGCAGUCUUGAGUACAGUAGAGGUGGGCGGAAUUCGUGGUGUAGCGGUGAAAUGCUUAGAUAUCACGAAGAACUCCGAUUGCGAAGGCAGUUCACUGGACUGCAACUGACACUGAGGCUCGAAAGUGCGGGUAUCAAACAGGAUUAGAUACCCUUGUAGUC